Molecule: ribosomal RNA, 556 nt
Filed under: uncultured bacterium
Lineage: Bacteria
Description: bacterial SSU rRNA
Rfam family: Bacterial small subunit ribosomal RNA
Source: RNAcentral
ACAAAUAGUUUACUAGGUGUUUCUUAGUGGCGGGCGGGUUAGUAACACGUGAGUAACAUGCCUCGAAGUGGGGGAUAGCCUUUCGAAAGAGAGAUUAAUACCGCAUGUGGUCUUCGGACCAAAGGUGCCUUCGGGUGCCGCUUUGAGAUUGGCUCACGGCCUAUCAGCUAGUUGGUGAGGUAACGGCUCACCAAGGCAACGACGGGUAGCUGUUCUGAGAGGAAGAUCAGCAACACUGGAACUGAGACACGGUCCAGACACCUACGGGUGGCAGCAGUCGAGAAUCAUUCACAAUGGACGAAAGUCUGAUGGUGCAACGCCGCGUGGAGGAUGAAGGCCCUAGGGUCGUAAACUCCUGUCAUAUAAGAGUAAGACAUAGUUGGUUAAUACCCAGUUAUGUUUGAUAGUAUUAUAAGAGGAAGGGACGGCUAACUUCGUGCCAGCAGCCGCGGUAAUACGAAGGUCCCAAGCGUUAUUCGGAAUCACUGGGCGUAAAGAGUACGUAGGCGGUUUGGUAAGUCAGGUGUGAAAUCCCGAAGCUCAACUUCGGAACUGC